UUUGGAUAAACCUUUUAGGAAACUUUUGGAGGACUAAAUGCUAAAAGGUAAUUAACUGAUGGAAUCGUUUGUGAUUCAAUCUGUGGCUAAAUUGACUACUCUAACUGUGUUUCUGCGCUCCAAUUUUUCCUUUAAGUUGAUAAGUACAUAAGCCAUUAACACUAUUUUAAUGAUAAAUUAAGGGGAAACUGACAAGGUAUCUGUAAGGGACUGGAGGAAAGAGAAUUCUAAUAAUAAUUUUCUUUUUACUGGCUUUGUCCCGACACAAUAAUUUAAUCGCCUCUCCAACUCAAACUUUGCUUAAAUUAAAACGGUUCUUGCAUUAAUUUGAUGUUUCUGAAACCAAAGGUCACUGCACCUAAAAAUGUCUUCAAUUUCAAAACUCUGUAGAAAAACAUCAUGCCCUGAACAAUAUGCUGCCUAAUCAAGCACAAAAGGAAUCAAAGAAUUCCCAAUUAGUGUAAUCUCACUUUCAUGCUUACAUAAUAAGUUUUACCCUUUCCUUGUACGGCAUACCUUGUCCCGUCACAGUGAAAGACUAUAAUAGCCAUAAGAAAGAAAAAGUGGAAAGGUACCUGCAAUUCAAAUUCCAAGCGAGGAAUCCAUUUUCUGCGAAGAAGGUAUUCAACUUCCUUUGCCAACUGUUCUGGAGAGAUCAGGGAGGUAAGACACAGUCUCAAACUUCUUCUUUCCAAGCGGAGGCCACACUUGCACUCAAUAGAAUUUUUUUUUCUAGGUCAAAAAUUUUCAGUUUAAUUUGCUUUGAUGCCUAUAAAGUUCCCUCUUCACAACAAGUAGUUGAAAACUCAAAGUUUUAUUAGCGCAGCAGUUGGUCUCGUGGCAUUUACUUGAGUUAGGAAAUAUUGGAUUUAAUUGCUAAUAGAAGCAAAGAAAUCGCUUCGUCCUUCGGUUGUUAUAUGACAUGUAAUCACUGCCAGGAAAACAAUUUCAAGCAACAGGUUAUUCCUUCGAAUUACCUGCAUGCACUGGACUCUUCCACCAUUGCUAGCUAUAGAGGUAAUGUCAUUGUUGAGUUUACGGGUCACUGGGAAGGCUGAGGUUGAUUUAAGCCUGUGAAAGGUGCAACCAUGCUGGCUUGAGCAGGGGUGGCACGGUUAACGGAGGCCACUGCCGCAGAUGAGACCAUGGAAGAUGCCAUGCCUCUUUCUUCCUUGGCUAGCUAGCUAUCGCAAAGUUUGUGUGAUCAGUUUAAGAGGUCUUUGCACAGCUGCUUGAUUCACUAUAUAUAGGCAAAGAAUCUUAAGUUUACUUCCCUAUUGCUUAUGUUAAAAUGUUGUGCAUCUGGCGGUCUAGAAUUCAUGCGGUAAAUAUUGGAAAUUUCUUGGUCCUUAGAUCAUGGAAGGGGUGACAUUACGGCUUGAUGGAAACAUAAUACAGAGGCUUUUGGAUUCCAAGCCUUAUCGUUAAGCACUCCACUGAUUGUGACACAUGGCAAACGCCCGUCAUCUUAUCUCAUCCGAGGAACCAGGGCUUGAAUUUGUGAUGGCCGUUUGUCUAUAUCUUUGUCAAGUCUUUUUUUGGCCAUUCAUUUCUUUUGUUGUUGGCAGCACAUCAUAUGUGGGGUGGUAGUUGGUACCUGCUGGCUGGAAGCGGAUGUUCUUGUGAUUAGUUUCACGAUUUGCAAAUUAUCUUACAGAAAUAUUUUCCGCAAAUGACUUUAAUCUACUAUUCUUCAUUCUGGUCCAUGGCAUUUGAGCUCGAAUUUCCAUUCCCAUCAAUUCAAGCUGGCGAUCAGAUGCUUAGUUAUUAUCUAAACAAGAUAAAGCAGUAAGCUCCAUUAAUUGGUGAAGCAGUAUUGCUAUUUGCAACAGCAGAUGGCGGAGUCUUUUAGAAUUUAAACAUGGAUGGGUGAUAUUAAAAUAAAGAGAAAGGCUGAAAAUAUCUAUUAUGAUUUUAUGCUAUAGAAACUAUGGCCAAUAAAUUUACUUAUCAUAUUUAUUAAUUCAAUUUAGGAAUUUUCUACAAACCUUUUGAACUGAACAUACCUUUUGAGUUGAUAUGUUUCCUCUUCAUGUCAAGGGCAACAUCCUGCCUCAGAUUGUAGUUCAGUGCAAACUGUAAUUUCAGAAUGUUUUUUCCAUAACCGGUAAGAUUUAUCAGAUUAGUCACCAAAUAAAAGAUGCAGUAGAAUUGCCUACCUAUACACUCUAAAUUAACCUUUUGUGACAUGAGCUGGACGAGCAAAAUGAGCUUGACCCUUUUAGUCUACAGUAUAGCUUCAUUCUGUUAAUUUGAUUAAUGUCUUUCACUCAGAUGGCUUUACAAAACGAAGCAUCGCCUGCUCAUUGCCAUCCUCUAAGAAAGCUUAUAAUUCCAAGGAAAUCUUUUGACAAAGGAAAGUUAGAAAAAGCUUGUAAUCAUAUGUCUUGAUGAUGGUGGAAAUUCUUUGUGUAAUCAUGAUUAUUUUUCUGCCUAUUCAAAUCAAUCGCAUUUCUUGCCACGUACUCAAGAGUCAAGGUCAUGAUUAGUCAGGGAUUUUCUUGUAAGCCAUCUUAUUUGCAAUUUCCCUUAAUGCUUGCGGUUUGAAGAUUUCUAUGAUGAUGCAAUAAGGUUCUUCUGAAAGAUGAGUGCCCCGGUUCAAAUUAGCAUCCCUUUAAGCCGGUAGAAAGUACAGAGUGUAAAGGAGGGGCCUUCCCUAGGUACGUCACUUCAGGUACCAUAUUCAUUUUUCUGUCCUUAUCUUAGUGCUUGUAACUUGAGCUUGAGAGAGGCAAAGAGAGAUAGAUUUGAACUCAAUCCAGAAAAAUGGAUACAUGUUUAAGAUAAAAGGACAUUAUCUCAUAUAAUUUACUCUUUUAUGUACAUUUGGCCCUUUAUCAUUCAGACUUCAAUAUUUCUGCGUGAAAACAGAGUUUAAAAAUGGAAAUCGUGGACUAGAUGCCACAAGGACCAAAGAAUCCACCAGACAACCCUGAAAGUGUAUUAAAUUUAGAAGCCUGGUGGCUUGUAGGCAAUGAAACAGAUGCAUCGUACUUGUCUCUUGUUGUCGAAUCCAAUGAUUCUGAUGAAUGCAUUGGGGUAAGCUUUCUUGGCCUCCUCGAGCUUCUUCAAGACUUGUGCUACAUCAGUUCAACCAAAAAUGGGCCGCUUCCACAUUGUCCAGUAGCGGCCAUCAUAGUACCCAGGGGAUCGGUGGUUCUCACGGUAAACAAAUCCGUGCUGCAACAAAUCAAAAUCACAUAGCUAAUUAGCCUUAGCUCAAACUAAAUAAAAUGUCUGGCAAUCAUGAGAUUGUACGUGAGAAGAAGCAUCAAAGUUCACCUCCAAUUCAAAUUCCGAGCAAGGAAUCCAAUGGCUGCGAAGAAGGCAAUCAACUUCCUUUCCCAACUGUCCUGAAGUGAGAUCAGGGAGGUAAGACAGUGUCUCAAACUUCUUUCCAAGCGGAGGCCAUAGCUGCACUCACCAGAAUACUAUGAAGAUUCAGAAACUUGCAAUUUCUAUUGAACAAUCUUAAUUGGCUAUUAAUAACUUUAUUAUGCGCUAUUCUUAUAAUCGAAGUCUCAUAUGUACCUGCAUACACUGGAUGCUGCCACCGUUGCUUGCAAGGGAGGUAAUGUCAUUGUUG
Molecule: long non-coding RNA, 3586 nt
Filed under: Theobroma cacao (cacao)
Lineage: Eukaryota; Viridiplantae; Streptophyta; Magnoliopsida; Malvales; Malvaceae
Description: long non-coding RNA (TCAC_LNC001237)
Source: RNAcentral